GAUGAACGCUGGCGGCGUGCCUAAUACAUGCAAGUCGAGCGAACGGACGAGAAGCUUGCUUCCCUGAUGUUAGCGGCGGACGGGUGAGUAACACGUGGAUAACCUACCUAUAAGACUGGGAUAACUUCGGGAAACCGGAGCUAAUACCGGAUGAUAUUUUGAACCGCAUGGUUCAAAAGUGAAAGACGGUCUUGCUGUCACUUAUAGAUGGAUCCGCGCUGCAUUAGCUAGUUGGUAAGGUAACGGCUUACCAAGGCAACGAUGCAUAGCCGACCUGAGAGGGUGAUCGGCCACACUGGAACUGAGACACGGUCCAGACUCCUACGGGAGGCAGCAGUAGGGAAUCUUCCGCAAUGGGCGAAAGCCUGACGGAGCAACGCCGCGUGAGUGAUGAAGGUCUUCGGAUCGUAAAACUCUGUUAUUAGGGAAGAACAUAUGUGUAAGUAACUGUGCACAUCUUGACGGUACCUAAUCAGAAAGCCACGGCUAACUACGUG
This 497-nucleotide ribosomal RNA is filed under the name uncultured bacterium. RNAcentral's name for it is "partial 16S ribosomal RNA". It matches the Rfam family "Bacterial small subunit ribosomal RNA", at positions 28 to 507 of the family's 1533-position model. The record is from RNAcentral.